Molecule: transfer RNA, 72 nt
Filed under: Phrynosoma platyrhinos (Desert horned lizard)
Lineage: Eukaryota; Metazoa; Chordata; Lepidosauria; Squamata; Phrynosomatidae
Description: tRNA-OTHER
Source: RNAcentral
GCCAGUGUGGUGCAGUGCUUUGAAUGUUGGACUACAACUCUGGAGACCAGGGUCCAAUUCCCAGCUUGGCCA